AAAAACAUAGCCCUGCGCUUCUAUGCAAGGUAAGCCCUGCCCAGUGAGAAAUUUAACGGCCGCAGUACCCUGACUGUGCUAAGGUAGCGUAAUCAGUUGGCUUUUAAAUGGAGUCGAGAAUGAAUGGGUUCAUGGGGAGUGACUGUCUCACCUUUGUUAAGUCGAACUUAUUUAGUAGGUGAAAAUACCUAUAAAUAGAAAAAAGACGAGAAGACCCUUAGAGUCUUAAUAAAGUGUCUUAGUCAGGCUAGUAUUUUUGUUGGGGCGACAUCGAGGCAUUAUUUAACCCUCGAUAAUAGAGAUUACUAGACGAAAGUAAUAGGAAAGACAAGACUACCUUAGGGAUAACAGCAUAAUCUUAAAAUUAGCUUUGUGACCUCGAUGUUGGACUAGGAACUUUAUGACUAGCCGUCAUAAGAGUAGGUUCUGUUCGAACCCUUUGCUCCUACGUGAUCUGANU
RNAcentral lists this ribosomal RNA (460 nucleotides) under Ellobium chinense. RNAcentral's name for it is "partial 16S ribosomal RNA". It matches the Rfam family "Bacterial large subunit ribosomal RNA", at positions 1809 to 2610 of the family's 2925-position model. The record is from RNAcentral. Lineage: Eukaryota; Metazoa; Mollusca; Gastropoda; Ellobiida; Ellobiidae.